GGAGAGGUGGCAGAGUGGCCGAUCGCGCUUCCUUGCUAAGGAAGUGUACCCGAAAGGGUACCGAGGGUUCGAAUCCCUCCCUCUCCGCCA
This 90-nucleotide transfer RNA is filed under the name Planctomycetaceae bacterium. Its description in RNAcentral is "tRNA-Ser". It matches the Rfam family "tRNA". Rfam says of the family: Transfer RNA (tRNA) molecules are approximately 80 nucleotides in length. Their secondary structure includes four short double-helical elements and three loops (D, anti-codon, and T loops). Lineage: Bacteria; Pseudomonadati; Planctomycetota; Planctomycetia; Planctomycetales; Planctomycetaceae. The record is from RNAcentral.